AUUGAACGCUGGCGGAAUGCUUUACACAUGCAAGUCGAGCGGCAGCGCGGGGCAACCUGGCGGCGAGCGGCGAACGGGUGAGUAAUGUAUCGGAACGUACCCAGUCGUGGGGGAUAACACAGCGAAAGUUGUGCUAAUACCGCAUACGACCUGAGGGUGAAAGGGGGGGAUCGCAAGACCUCUCGCGAUUGGAGCGGCCGAUAUCGGAUUAGCUAGUUGGUGAGGUAAAGGCUCACCAAGGCGACGAUCCGUAGCGGGUCUGAGAGGACGACCCGCCACACUGGAACUGAGACACGGUCCAGACUCCUACGGGAGGCAGCAGUGGGGAAUUUUGGACAAUGGGGGCAACCCUGAUCCAGCCAUUCCGCGUGAGUGAAGAAGGCCUUCGGGUUGUAAAGCUCUUUCGGCAGGAACGAAACGGUUCAUCCUAAUACGGUGGGCUAAUGACGGUACCUGAAGAAGAAGCACCGGCUAACUACGUGCCAGCCGCCGCGGUAA
RNAcentral lists this ribosomal RNA (498 nucleotides) under uncultured bacterium. Its description in RNAcentral is "partial 16S ribosomal RNA". It matches the Rfam family "Bacterial small subunit ribosomal RNA", at positions 29 to 523 of the family's 1533-position model. The record is from RNAcentral.